RNAcentral lists this ribosomal RNA (180 nucleotides) under uncultured Glomeromycotina. Its description in RNAcentral is "partial small subunit ribosomal RNA". Lineage: Eukaryota; Fungi; Glomeromycota. The record is from RNAcentral.
GGCCUGGCGGGAUGGUCCGCCUUACGGUGUGUACUGUCUGGCCGGGCCUUACCUCCUGGUGAGGCCGUAUGCCCUUUACUGGGUGUGCGGUGGAACCAGGAAUUUUACCUUGAGAAAAUUAGAGUGUUCAAAGCAGGCAUAUGCCCGAAUACAUUAGCAUGGAAUAAUAGAAUAGGACGU